This 839-nucleotide long non-coding RNA is filed under the name Homo sapiens (human). Its description in RNAcentral is "HSALNT0328218". Lineage: Eukaryota; Metazoa; Chordata; Mammalia; Primates; Hominidae. The record is from RNAcentral.
GUGAAUGAAGGCUCUGUCCAAGGGCUCAUUCUGUCAUGAGCUAGUCAUGGGUAAAGGGUUCCAAGGACUUUCCUACCUAGUGUCAGAUCAGAGCCUGGGAGUGGCUGGGAGUGGAGGCGUUGCUCAACUGAUCUUUGGUGGAGGUGCUUUUGGCCUAAUGGAAGGUGGAUGGAUCUCACUAUGUUGCCAAGGCUGGCUCGAGAACUCCUGGGCUCAACCAAUCCUCCUGCCUCAGCCUCCCAAAUAGCUGGGACUACAGGAGAUUAGGACUCUCAGAAGAGACACCAGAGGCGUGGCCACACAGAGAAAAAGAUCAUGUGGGGACACAGUGAAAAGGCAGCCAUCAUAAGCCACAGAGAGAGGACUCAGAAGAAACCAACUCUGCUGACACCUUCAUCUUGAACUUCUAGCCUCUAGAACUGUGAAAAAACAAAUUUCUGUUGUUAAGACACCCGGUCUGUGGUAUUUUGUUAAGACAGCCCUAGCAAACUAACACAAUUUUGUACACUAAAUAAAGUCCAAUUCAAUUUUAAUUUUAUAGAAACUGAAACAAAUAAUUUAAAGAUUUACUUAGUAAAUUACUUCAGAUUGGGAUCAAAUGUGUACAUGAAUUAUGAAAAUGUAAGAAAUGGAUAUUUAAAUAAGUAUACCAGAACAUAAAAAUUCCAGUGCCUGGUUUUUUUUUUUUUUUUGAAAGCCACUUAUCCCAACAAUAAAACUGAUGCUCAAAAUAUUUUGGGACCUAUCUUUAUACUCUGUUAAUUAUGCACUCAAGAAAAUAAGUGUGACUAUAUUACAGCCACUCCAUUUUUGUUUGUUUGUUUAUGUUAUUCAGCUUA